Non-coding RNA from Triticum aestivum (bread wheat), 115 nucleotides. The record is from Rfam. NCBI's taxonomy places the organism in Eukaryota, Viridiplantae, Streptophyta, Magnoliopsida, Poales, Poaceae.
AAUAUACUCCCUCCGUUCGGAAAUACUCGUCAUUGAAAUGGAUGUAUCUAGACGUAUUUCAGUUCUAGAUACAUCCAUUGUGGUGACAAGUAAUUCCGAACGGAGGGAGUACAAG